CCUGGUGGCUUAGAUGGUAAAGAAUCUGCCUGCAAUGCAGGAGUCCCAGGUUCAAUCCCUGGGUCAGGA
This 69-nucleotide transfer RNA is filed under the name Bos taurus (domestic cattle). It matches the Rfam family "tRNA". Rfam says of the family: Transfer RNA (tRNA) molecules are approximately 80 nucleotides in length. Their secondary structure includes four short double-helical elements and three loops (D, anti-codon, and T loops). RNAcentral also lists the same sequence under 3 other names. The record is from Rfam by way of RNAcentral. Lineage: Eukaryota; Metazoa; Chordata; Mammalia; Artiodactyla; Bovidae.